UUCAAAAAAAAAAGACUUAAAAUACAGAGUCUCGUAGCUCAGCUGGUUAGAGUACUACACUGAUAAUGUAGGGGUCGGCAGUUCGAGUCUGCCCGGGACUACUUUUAACAAGUAUUUUAAGAGAAAAAGGAAAUUUUAAAAGUUGAGUCCUUGAAUUUUGAAAUUUGAAAUUUAAAUUUUGAAAUUGAAAACGGGGGAUUAGCUCAGCUGGCUAGAGCGCCUGCCUUGCACGCAGGAGGUCAUCGGUUCGACUCCGAUAUUCUCCACGAAAAAAAUGAUAAUUAUCAAUUGAUAAUUGUUAAUUGAUUAAAGUUCAUUGACAUAUUGAGAUAAACAUACAAACAAGUAG
Molecule: transfer RNA, 349 nt
Filed under: Flavobacterium columnare
Lineage: Bacteria; Pseudomonadati; Bacteroidota; Flavobacteriia; Flavobacteriales; Flavobacteriaceae
Description: partial 16S-23S ribosomal RNA intergenic spacer
Rfam family: tRNA (bases 193-266)
Source: RNAcentral